Molecule: ribosomal RNA, 491 nt
Filed under: uncultured bacterium
Lineage: Bacteria
Description: bacterial SSU rRNA
Rfam family: Bacterial small subunit ribosomal RNA
Source: RNAcentral
UGAACGCUAGCGACAGGCCUAACACAUGCAAGUCAGGGGCAGCACAAGGAGCAAUCUGAGGUGGCGACCGGCGCACGGGUGAGUAACACGUAUGCAACCUGCCUGUAAGCGGGGAAUAACCCGUUGAAAGACGGACUAAUACCGCAUAAUACUAAAUUACUGCAUGGUAAUUAUUUAAACAUUUAUGGCUUACAGAUGGGCAUGCGCAUGAUUAGCUAGUUGGAGAGGUAACGGCUCCCCAAGGCAACGAUCAUUAGGGGUUCUGAGAGGAAGGUCCCCCACACUGGUACUGAGACACGGACCAGACUCCUACGGGAGGCAGCAGUGAGGAAUAUUGGUCAAUGGACGAGAGUCUGAACCAGCCAAGUCGCGUGCAGGAAGAACGUCCUAUGGAUUGUAAACUGCUUUUGCAGGGGAAUAAAGUGCAUCACGUGUGAUGUUUUGUAUGUACUCUGCGAAUAAGGAUCGGCUAACUCCGUGCCAGCAGCUGC